UGGCAUUUAGACUACGUCAUCCUACUGCUUUCUGUCUCCCAUGGUUUCUCAUGAGAAAAAUAGUAACUUUACAGUAAAGACAACUGGCAGAUACCACUCUAAGUGAUCCAGGAGAAAUAAGAAGAUUAGAAACACAGAGACAGGGACAUGACCAUGUGAACACCCAUGUGAAGAUGGAGGCAGAGACUGAAGUUAUUCUGCCACAAGGCAAGGAAUGCCAGGAGACACCAGAUUCUGGGAGAGGCAAAUAAAGAUUCUCCCCUAAAGCCAUCAGUGUGAGUGUGGCCAUGUCAACACCUUGAUUUAAGAUUGCUGAUGCCAGAAC
This 325-nucleotide long non-coding RNA is filed under the name Equus caballus (horse). RNAcentral describes it as "lncRNA (ENSECAG00000053978.1)". Lineage: Eukaryota; Metazoa; Chordata; Mammalia; Perissodactyla; Equidae. The record is from RNAcentral.